GUCUGGGUGGCUCAGUGGUUGAGCAUCUGCCUUUGACUCAGGUCAUGAUCCCGAGGUCUUGGGAUCGAGUCCCACAUCAGGCU
RNAcentral lists this transfer RNA (83 nucleotides) under Canis lupus familiaris (dog). It matches the Rfam family "tRNA". Rfam says of the family: Transfer RNA (tRNA) molecules are approximately 80 nucleotides in length. Their secondary structure includes four short double-helical elements and three loops (D, anti-codon, and T loops). Further hydrogen bonds mediate the characteristic L-shaped molecular structure. tRNAs have two regions of fundamental functional importance: the anti-codon, which is responsible for specific mRNA codon recognition, and the 3' end, to which the tRNAs corresponding amino acid is attached (by aminoacyl-tRNA synthetases). tRNAs cope with the degeneracy of the genetic code in two manners: having more than one tRNA (with a specific anti-codon) for a particular amino acid; and 'wobble' base-pairing, i.e. permitting non-standard base-pairing at the 3rd anti-codon position. RNAcentral also lists the same sequence under 1 other name. The record is from Rfam by way of RNAcentral. Lineage: Eukaryota; Metazoa; Chordata; Mammalia; Carnivora; Canidae.